RNAcentral lists this ribosomal RNA (468 nucleotides) under uncultured bacterium. Its description in RNAcentral is "partial 16S ribosomal RNA". It matches the Rfam family "Bacterial small subunit ribosomal RNA", at positions 28 to 507 of the family's 1533-position model. The record is from RNAcentral.
GACGAACGCUGGCGGCGUGCUUAACACAUGCAAGUCGAACGGAAAGGCCCUGCUUUUGUGCUGUGCUCGAGUGGCGAACGGGUGAGUAACACGUGAGUAACCUGCCCUUGACUUUGGGAUAACUUCAGGAAACUGGGGUUAAUACCGUAUAGGAGCUCCUGCUGCAUGGUGGGGGUUGGAAAGUUUCGGCGGUUGGGGAUGGACUCGCGGCUUAUCAGCUUGUUGGUGGGGUAGUGGCUUACCAAGGCUUUGACGGGUAGCCGGCCUGAGAGGGUGACCGGCCACAUGGGGACUGAGAUACGGACCAGACUCCUACGGGAGGCAGCAGUGGGGAAUAUUGCACAAUGGGCGGAAGCCUGAUGCAGAAACGCCGCGUGCGGGAUGACGGCCUUCGGGUUGUAAACCGCUUUCGCCUGUGACGAAGCGUGAGUGACGGUAAUGGGUAAAGAAGCACCGGCUAACUACGUG